UUGAAGAAAGUUCGUUCUUUUAUUGAUAAUGGGAAAAAGGUUGGUCACUACAAAGCUGCGUGUGGGACUUUAUAAAUAGUCUGUCAGCUUGAACCUUCUAGGGUUCGACUCAAAGAAAAGAAAAGGACUCAAAACGACAGGACUUUGAAAGGAAAUAACAAACCUAGUCUACGAAAACAUAAACUCAUCGUUUCAUUUAAUACAAAAAUGGAAAGUUUGCUUAAGACUCUUUAAACUAAACUACUGACGUCGUUUUGAUGUUGUACGUAGCCGUUGUGAGGGCCAAGAUCACCUGCAAGAACGAUAUAAUAAUUGAAAAGCUUACCUUGGUGUGAAGGGUUCCGGUUGGCCGCUUGUGUAGCUGUGAUGGCCGAGCUUGAGGCCGUGGCGUCCUUGGCUUGGAACCUUCUUGUAAAGUCUUCUAAAUACUUUUCCAAUGUAGCUAAGUCCUUGUCUUCAAGUCCCCAAGCUUUUUGGUGCUCCGUCCUAGUUUCUUGGUCUUCUUGGCCUUUCUCGGGUCCGAGUGGUGUAUUGUGAAGCAUCUCCAAACCUGCUCGUUGGAGGGACAAAAAUCCACGUUCAUUAGCCUCAGUAUAUAUACUUGGACGAGAGAUCUUACCUUUGUUGGAGGUUUCCAAGUCGUCUGGUGGCUCCAGCCCGGGGGUCUUUGAUUUAUCGACUAAAUCUUGUACGGGCUCGGCCAUCUCAUUAUCCGCUCGGGCAAACUUGUUUCUGUCUCGUCCGUUAGAUUCAGCUGGUGAUUUUGGUCGAGCAAGGUCAGCUUCAGUACGAUAGAUUCCAUCGCCAAAUUGGUCUGGCCGAGGUGAUACUGAUUUCUCGGCCAAAAUCUCUCGCGUCUCGGCCAAAGUUUCUCGCGUAUCGGCCAUUUUGGAACCAUCCUUUAGUUCUUCAGGUUUUAAGCCUGAAAAUGACAUUCUGCUCGGACUGUUAGCAUUUAAAUCAAAAACUGGUCGAGAGAUAACCAUUUUGGCCUGAGAGAUUCGGUCAUCUGAUGGGUCAUUUCUGGAACCCAAGUAUUCGGCCCCGGUUUGGCCGCAAAGCUUGUUUAAGCCGUAUAUGACAUUCGGGUCGGGCAACAACGGGUCGUCUGGAUCUAGUGAGUUGAUAAAGAUGUGUAAGGCUCUCUUGUAUCUAUUUCUGAGUUGUUUAAUCUUGGAGCGUGUCAUGGCCCCGUCUUGGACGGAUGGCAUUAGCCCCGGUAAGGUCUUAGGGUCGAUGUCCACAUCAUUCCCUCCCUCUUCUAAAGGUGUUGACCCCAAAACUUCUUCACCUGCAUCAAAAUAAGAUAAGUCAACCACGUUAAAAGUGUGUGAAAUGUUAUACUCACCUGGAAGAUCCAAACGAUAGGCAUUAUCGUUGAUCUUGCUCAAGACUUUGAAUGGGCCGUCGCCUCUCGGCGAGUGUUUGGACGCACGCCGACCAGGAAACCUUUCUGUCCUCAUGUGUAACCAGACCCAAUCUCCUGGUUCAAAUGAGACGUCCUUCCGGUCUUUGUCUGCGGCCUUCUUGUAGACUUCGGUCUUCUUUUCUAUGUUGGUCUUCGCCGUCUCAUAUAGCUUUUUGAACAGCUCUCCUCGUCUCAAUCCAUCUAGAUUGGUUUGGUCUACCUGUGCUAUAGGUCUAAGAUCCACUGGAGAAAGAGGGUUAGUACCGUAAACUAUCUCGAAUGGAGAUAGUUUUGUAGCCGAGUGCCUUGCACGGUUAUAAGCAAAUUCUACAAAAGGAAUGCAAUCGAGCCAGGUGCUCAUGUUUUUACCAAGUGAAGCCCUAAGUAGUGUAGAUAAGGUUCGGUUUACCACUUCUGUUUGACCAUCGGUCUGAGGGUGACAUGUUGUGGAGAAAAUGAGCUUGGUGCCUAGGUUUUUCCACAAGGUACGCCAAAAAUGGCUGAGAAACUUGGUGUCUCGGUCUGAGAUGAUUGUUCUCGGGACCCCAUGUAGACGUACGACCUCCUUGAAGAACAAGUUGGCUAUUUGUGUGGCGUCGUUUGUCUUUUCACACGGUAUAAAGUGGGCCAUCUUAGAAAACCGGUCAACAACAACAAAAAUGGAGUCCUUGUGCCUGAUCUUGGGUAAACCUAAGACAAAAUCCAUCGAAAUAUCUACCCAAGGGGCGUUAGGUAUAGGCAGAGGCAUAUAUAAACCGUGAGGAUGUGACCUGGAUUUGGCUUUGUGGCAUUGGAUACAUCUAGAACAGAAUCGUCCCACGUCCCUUUUCAUGUGUGGCCAAUAGAAAUGGUCCAUCAUGACAGCCAGAGUCAAAUCCACUCCAAAGUGUCCCAUUAAGCCUCCACCGUGAGCUUCACUACGCACUAGUUCCCUCAUAGAUCCCUGCGGAAUGCACAAGCGUUUAUCUUUAAAAAGAAAACCAUUGUGUAUAUAGAAAGAACCUGUAGGUCCUUUGCAGCAAUCGAUAUAUGUUUCUCCAAGUUCAGGAUCAUCUUUGUAUAGCGUCUUAAUGUGUUCAAAACCCAUACUUUGGCCUCCAUGGUCGCUAUAAGCGUAUGGCGUCUUGAUAACGCAUCAGCUACCACGUUGUCUUUGCCCUUUUUGUACUUGAUUACAUAGGGGAAGGUCUCUAUGAACUCAAGCCAUUUAGCAUGCCUUCGUUUAAGUGAAGUUUGGCCACGCAAAUGUUUAAGGGUUUCGUGAUCAGUGUGUAUGAUGAACUCCUUGGACAACAAGUAAUGUUGCCAUGUCUCCAAUGCUCUAACUAGUGCGUACAACUCCUUAUCAUAGGUGGGGUAGUUGAGGGUGGCCCCAUGGAUUUUCUCACUGAAAUACGCCACCGGCCUCUUCUUUUGGUGCAGCACAGCUCCGAUCCCUAAUCCGGAGGCAUCGCACUCCACUUCGAACAUCUCGUCGAAGUUUGGUAAAGCAAGAACGGGUGCUUGGGUGAGUCUUUCCUUCAAGGCUUGAAACGCUUCGUCUUGAGCUGUUCCCCACCUGAACGGAACGUUCUUCUUGAUAACAGCCGUGAGUGGUGCGGCCACAGUGCUAAAAUCUCUCACGAACCGCCGGUAAAAACUGGCUAGCCCAUGAAAGCUUCGUACAUGGCCGAUGGUGGUAGGGGUAGGCCAUUCUUGUAUCGCCUUUAUCUUUUCUUCAUCCACCUGUAAGCCCAGUUCACUCACAACGAAUCUUAAGAACACGAGUUGGUUAGUACAGAAUGAGCACUUCUUAAGGUUAGCAUAAAGGUCUUCCUUGCGAAGUGAUUUGGGCACUAGUUCGAGGUGUGUAAGAUGGUCAUGUAAGUUCUUACUAUAUAUAAGUAUGUCAUCAAAAUAAACUACCACAAAUUUACUUAUAUAUUCUCGAAGAACCUGGUUCAUUAAUCGCAUGAAGGUGCUAGGGGAUCUAGAGAUGGGAAAAAGGUUGGUCACUACAAAGCUGUGUGUGGGACUUUAUAAAUAGUCCGUCAGCUUGAACCUUCUAGGGUUCGACUCAAAGAAAAGAAAAGGACUCAAAACGACAGGACUUUGAAAGGAAAUAACAAACCUUGUCUACGAAAACAUAAACUCAUCGUUUCAUUUAAUACAAAAAUGGAAAGUUUUCUUAAGACUCUUUAAACUAAACUACUGACGUCGUUUUGAUGUUGUACGUAGCCGUUGUGAGGGCCAAGAUCACCUGCAAGAACGAUAUAAUAAUUGAAAAGCUUACCUUGGUGUGAAGGGUUCCGGUUGGCCGCUUGUGUAGCUGUGAUGGCCGAGCUUGAGGCUGUGGCGUCCUUGGCUUGGAACCUUCUUGUAAAGUCUUCUAAAUGCUUUUCCAAUGUAGCUAAGUCCUUGUCUUCAAGUCCCCAAGCGUUUUGGUGCUCCGUCCUAGUUUCUUGGUCUUCUUGGCCUUUCUCGGGUCCGGGUGGUGUAUUGUGAAGCAUCUCCAAACCUGCUCGUUGGAGGGACAAAAUUCCACGUUCAUUAGCCUCAGUAUAUAUACUUGGACGAGAGAUCUUACCUUUGUUGGAGGUUUCC
This 3991-nucleotide long non-coding RNA is filed under the name Eutrema salsugineum. RNAcentral's name for it is "long non-coding RNA (ESAL_LNC000517)". Lineage: Eukaryota; Viridiplantae; Streptophyta; Magnoliopsida; Brassicales; Brassicaceae. The record is from RNAcentral.